Molecule: ribosomal RNA, 620 nt
Filed under: uncultured Desulfotomaculum sp.
Lineage: Bacteria; Bacillati; Bacillota; Clostridia; Eubacteriales; Desulfotomaculaceae
Description: bacterial SSU rRNA
Rfam family: Bacterial small subunit ribosomal RNA
Source: RNAcentral
CGAAGCAAGUGACGGUACCCCCGGAAGAAGCACCGGCUAACUACGUGCCAGCAGCCGCGGUAAAACGUAGGGGGCGAGCGUUGUCCGGAAUUACUGGGCGUAAAGGGCGUGUAGGCGGCAUAGUAAGUCCGUAGUGAAACCCGACGGCUCAACCGUCGGCUUGCUAUAGAAACUGCUAAGCUUGAGUGCAGUAGAGGGGAGUGGAAUUCCCAGUGUAGCGGUGAAAUGCGUAGAUAUUGGGAGGAACACCAGUGGCGAAAGCGGCUCCCUGGCCUGUAACUGACGCUGAGGCGCGAAAGCGUGGGUAGCAAACAGGAUUAGAUACCCUGGUAGUCCACGCCGUAAACGAUGGGUGCUAGGUGUUGUGGGUAUCGACCCCCACAGUGCCGGAGUUAACGCAAUAAGCACCCCGCCUGGGGAGUACGGCCGCAAGGCUGAAACUCAAAGGAAUUGACGGGGGCCCGCACAAGCGGUGGAGUAUGUGGUUUAAUUCGACGCAACGCGAAGAACCUUACCAGGUCUUGACAUCUCCUGACAGCUUAUGAAAGUAAGUUUUUACCUUCGGGUGACAGGAAGACAGGUGGUGCAUGGUUGUCGUCAGCUCGUGUCGUGAGAUGUUG